RNAcentral lists this unclassified non-coding RNA (3100 nucleotides) under Leishmania donovani. RNAcentral describes it as "gene:LdHU3.35.6810(CDS-product:pteridine_transpor ter_(truncated)_putative)". Lineage: Eukaryota; Euglenozoa; Kinetoplastea; Trypanosomatida; Trypanosomatidae. The record is from RNAcentral.
CCUACACAUCUGAGAAGUCUUGCCGGGCAGACUUGUCAGCCACCGAGGUGCGCAUCGUCGGACAUCUUCACUCGUGCCCUUCUCCGCUAUCCAUUGCCAUCAUACCAGGUCGUUACCGCAUGCCGCCAGCGCCGGAAUCGCCGCCACCGCAGGUGGCCAAGUACGUUCAUCCUGUUUCCGCUCGCGUGCUGCGCGCAGCGCCGUUCCUCGGCUGCAUCCCUGUCUUCAGCAUUGCGAUCAGGUCAUUCCACCCCAAGGUUGUAGUCGCCAUUUGCAUGCAGCGCCUAUUUGAGAAGGGCCUCGCCAAUGGGCUGAUGCGACUGUCGAUGCAACCGAUGCUGACGGGACGCUACGGGCUCACCGGCGCCAUGUACCAGCGCCUGUCCACCCUCUACACCCUGGGCUGGGCCCUCAACGCAUUCAUCACGGUGAUGGCGGACACGUUUGCGCUGUUCGGGUACACGAAACGGUGGUACUGCGUGGUGUCGGCGGUGGGCGGCGGUGCGUUCGCGCUGCUGUACGGGCUGCUGCCGGCGAAGGAGUCGAGCGCGAAGCCUGCUGCUGCCUUCAUGUUCCUGGCGGCACUGUUCAUGAGCAAUAUCGACGUCUUCGCUGUUGCCUUGUACAGCGAGCGGAUCCGCCAGCGUCCAGCUGCCGGGCCAGCGCUGGUGAGCUGGAUGUGGGGCACGGCGCUCAUCGGUAUUAUGAUCUCCAGCGUUAUUCAGGGUCCUCUCUCCGACAAUCGGCUGACGCACCUUGGCGUGUACAUCACAGCCGCCAUCCUGCUGCUGUCAGGUCUACUGUUCGUGUUCAACCUUUUCGAAGAGCGGCGCAACCGCGCUGCACGCCUGGAGGACGCCAUGAUCGAGUUCCUUCAGAACACCAAGAGCGCAAGCACCGACAGCACAGCCGGCUCGCUGCCGUCGCCACAUAAGCCGGAUGGGCAUCUCACCAUUGAUAGUCGCGUGGAGGAGGAGGGCGACGACGACGACCACGACGAGCAGAAGGCGGCCGCGAUGGAUGCGCAGGGCUUUGUGCGGCCGCGCAUGGACACGUACCUGUGCGGUGCCGUGGAGAUGAACCGGGACGUCCUUCUGCGAAACUGGCGAAUGGCGUUAUUCUGCCUGAUUCUCACCCUCGGCGUGAUCGCUAACGCCCUCGUGAACAUUCUUGGCACGCGGUGGGACAUUAUGUAUGUCUGCAUCGUCGUGGCGGUGGUGGUGUGCGUCAGCUCCUUCUUCACGUUGCCGCUGGCCAUUGCAAAAGCGGUUGUGUUCAUGUAUUUCAACGAGAUCCUCUACCUGAACCUGCCCGGCGUGCUGAAUACUUUUUACGUCGCGAAGCCGCUAUGUCUCCCCGGUGGGCCGCACUUCUCGUACACGUUCUACAACGUCAUGAAUGGCAUUCUGGGUAGCAUCGCAGGCAUCGGUGGUACCAUGGUGUUCACACAUCUGUUUCCUCACCACAGCUACCGGUUUGUCAUGGGCCUCUCCGCUGUUCUGCUGCCGGCAGCCUCUAUGUUCGACCUCCUCAUUUUGAAGCGCUGGAACCUGGUCAUCGGCAUCCCUGACCACGCCAUGUACAUUUUGGGGGACGCCAUCAUCUACGAAGUGUGCGAUAUGCUCCUGAACAUGCCCAUGAUGAUGCUCAUGUGCCGCAUCGCGCCGCGCGGGUCGGAGUCGAUGGUGUUUGCGCUGCUCGCGAGCAUUUACCACCUCGGCACCUCGACUUCGUCAGCGAUAGGCUACCUGCUGAUGGAAACGAUUUGGCCGGUUGUCACGCAGGGCACGUGUGACUACAGCAAUGCGCCGUGGCUGGUGAUCACUGGCCACAUUGUUGCACCCGUUUUCAUCUUACCAUUGGCCUACGUCCUCCUCCCAUCAGCGCGCAUCAGUGACCACAUUGACCACACGGGCCGGAAGGUGAUGGAGGCCGCACUCCCGGAGACGCGCACUGAGGCGGCAGAAGAGCCGAUCGCCACUACAAUGAAGCGGGACAGCUAGCGAAUUGUCUUUGUUUCUGUCUGCGUUGAUGGUGUAGGAUGAGCAAGGGGAAGAAAACAAGCCAAAAAAUGAACAACCCAAUGCGCACGGCCCACGUUAUCCCCUGCAGCUCUACGCCUGUGUGUGUGUGUGUGUGGAUCUGGUAGCUACGUUUUCUCUUCUCGUUUUUUUUUCUUCGGAGCCGGGAGGUGACAUUCCUCCUCUGAGAUGACAUGGGUGGCUCAGUCAUCUCGGCCCUCCUCUCCCUCGCGGGCUCACCGUCUGCAUGUGUCGCAUCAUUUCUUCUGAACCUCUUUUAGCGGUCGCGGCUUCACAGUUUUGUAAAGGAACUUCUCCACAUUUUGGAGGCGCAAGAGAGGCAUUUCCACUUGUCCUCUAGCGCAUCGCUCCUUGUGUGCGCCCGCUUCCAUUCUUGUGUGGCUGUUUAUUGCACCUUGACUGCCCAUCUCCAAGUACGGAGGAGGACUCCGUCCAGCUGCACCUGUCUUGCACUUAAAGGAACUGGCACAACACACACGUAUGUGAUGAUCGUCUCCACAUGCGAGUGCACACCACAAAGCAUCAAGGGAAAACGUUUGCACGUUCGGAGAACAACGAACAGUAAUGAAACGCCAAAGAUGACCAGGACACCCAUCCUCUGCGUUUGUGACCACUAGUGCGUCCUCGUGUGAUGUGAGCAGAUGACGGAUGCAGCGUGAUGUUAGGGUAGCAGACAUCCGGGUGACCUGAUCUGCCGUUCAUGUAUCCACCACGUCACCUGGUUCAACGCGUGUGCUUGGCAACGGGCGCCAUCUCAGCCUGUUGCCUUGCGGAAAAAAACAGACGACAUUUUUUUUUUAUAACAAAGGGGAGCGGGGUGGAGAGGGGCCGACUCGCAGCACAUGUAUUCGCCCUCUCUUCCAUCGAGUUUAUUUUUUAAAUGCUUUUGUUUUCCUUUUUUAUAGUAUAUCGUACGUUUCCUUUUUUUUUUUCGUUUUGUUUGUGUGCGAUAACGGUGUCCUCAUGUGCCUCCUUCUCUCUCUAUCUGUGUGUUUUUCUUUUUUGUUGUUCGGGUGAGUUGUUUUUCUAGGACCUCCCGUCCUCCGACACACACGCAC